AUGAGCUUUUGGUGCUGCAAUCAGUUGCGCCCUUCGACGAUGGAGUUGUAUCUGUGCACGCCGGAGCUGCCACCGGCGUUUUUGGGAGCUGCAAGGUCAACGACGACGAGCAAGGGCGGCGGCACCGUGCUAUCAUGGGCGGUGACCUCGUGUCUCUCCGGCGCAAGCACAACAGGCUACCUGAUUAGUCUAAGUCACUGGCUAGCUAGUUUGUUGCUUUGGCAAUUGUACGUAGAUUCAUGCAAGCAGAAACGCAUCGGUCUAGGGGCGUGUUUGGUUGCCUGGGUGGCUUUCAGCUGCAUUGCAUGGAGGAUCCAGGCUGAGCAUGGCCAGGCUAAGGCGAUGCAAAGUUGCGUCGUGAUGUAUGUUUGGUGA
Molecule: ribosomal RNA, 375 nt
Filed under: Triticum aestivum (bread wheat)
Lineage: Eukaryota; Viridiplantae; Streptophyta; Magnoliopsida; Poales; Poaceae
Description: partial small subunit ribosomal RNA
Source: RNAcentral